GGCGGCGUGCUUAACACAUGCAAGUCGAACGGUGAAGCCCUUCGGGGUGGAUCAGUGGCGAACGGGUGAGUAACACGUGAGUAAUCUGCCCCUGACUCUGGGAUAACCUCGGGAAACCGUGGCUAAUACCGGAUAUGACAUACGGCUGCAUGGUCUGUGUGUGGAAAGAAUUUUGGUCAGGGAUGAGCUCGCGGCCUAUCAGCUUGUUGGUGGGGUAAUGGCCUACCAAGGCGACGACGGGUAGCCGGCCUGAGAGGGCGACCGGCCACACUGGGACUGAGACACGGCCCAGACUCCUACGGGAGGCAGCAGUGGGGAAUAUUGCGCAAUGGGCGAAAGCCUGACGCAGCGACGCCGCGUGAGGGAUGAAGCCUUCGGGUCGUAAACCUCUUUCAGCAGGGAAGAAGCGAAAGUGACGGUACCUGCAGAAGAAGCACCGGCUAACUACGUGCCAGCAGCCGCGGUAAUACGUAGGGUGCAAGCGUUGUCCGGAAUUAUUGGGCGUUAA
Molecule: ribosomal RNA, 508 nt
Filed under: uncultured Actinomycetes bacterium
Lineage: Bacteria; Bacillati; Actinomycetota; Actinomycetes
Description: bacterial SSU rRNA
Rfam family: Bacterial small subunit ribosomal RNA
Source: RNAcentral